Molecule: ribosomal RNA, 401 nt
Filed under: uncultured Pseudomonas sp.
Lineage: Bacteria; Pseudomonadati; Pseudomonadota; Gammaproteobacteria; Pseudomonadales; Pseudomonadaceae
Description: bacterial SSU rRNA
Rfam family: Bacterial small subunit ribosomal RNA
Source: RNAcentral
CCUUGACAUGCAGAGAACUUCCAGAGAUGGAUUGGUGCCUUCGGGAACUCUGACACAGGUGCUGCAUGGCUGUCGUCAGCUCGUGUCGUGAGAUGUUGGGUUAAGUCCGUAACGAGCGCAACCCUUGUCCUUAGUUACCAGCACGUUAUGGUGGGCACUCUAAGGAGACUGCCGGUGACAAACCGGAGGAAGGUGGGGAUGACGUCAAGUCAUCAUGGCCUUACGGCCUGGGCUACACACGUGCUACAAUGGUCGGUACAAAGGGUUGCCAAGCCGCGAGGUGGAGCUAAUCCCAUAAAACCGAUCGUAGUCCGGAUCGCAGUCUGCAACUCGACUGCGUGAAGUCGGAAUCGCUAGUAAUCGUGAAUCAGAAUGUCACGGUGAAUACGUUCCCGGGCCUU